CUCACUGAUCGUCGUUCUCCUCCUUCGUAUCGAUCCCAGCCGCCAUAAAGGGGAAAAAAAAGUGGUUCAAUGUCAUCUUUGUAUGUAAACGUUGUCUGCGUACGAGAAGGAGGAGGGGAGAUGAUGGCAGCCGACGCACCAUAGCGCCUACUUUGAAUCUAUUUUCGUCCUUGUUUUAUUAUUUUUUAACGUUUUUUUUCCCUUUUUCUGUCCGCCUUUGGUGACGUUUUUUUAUUUUUUAUUGUAUUUUCUGCGGGCCUGCAUGUGGUGACUGGCGGGAAUGUGUGACGGCCAUGCUGGCGGUGCGGUGCUUCUUGCUCUUUGCUGCAGUGGGCGAUCGGCUGACGGUGUCAGGUUUAAACGGGAGCCCAGGUCAGGAUGAAGCCACCUGGGAUUGGUCCUCCCGGUCCGGACAGAGGACAGAGGGCAGCGACACAGCGGCCCAGGUGACCUAUCCCAAGCGUCUGGUGCAGAGGACUGAGUCGGAGCAGGAAAUGGCUCACGAGCACCUGGACACCCGUGUGAAAAAUAACACGGGACACACCUCGGACGUUCACUUGGCGCAGAGCUGUUUCCAGGUGGAAGCCUUUGGACGUGCCUUCACGCUGGACCUGGAACUAAACCAUCACCUGCUGUCCUCGGACUACGUAGAGCGCCAUUUUACACCGGAGAGCCGACCCUUGCAGUCACUGGGAGGGGAGCUCUGCUACUACCAGGGAAGGUUAAGAGGUGUGCCGGAGUCCUGGGCGGCUCUCUCCACCUGCCACGGCCUCUGUGGGAUGUUCUCAGACGGCGUCUUCUCUUAUGGGAUUGAGCCUUUUCACAAUGACAGCAAUGAGGAAAAUGGCGCCCACUUGAUCCACAGGAUGUCAGAUUUCAGGCUCUUCCCCCAUUGCGCGGACUGCGCAGAGGACGACAGCGAGUGGGAUAGCAGAGGAGGUGGCAAAGACCAAAGGGGGACGCUGCAGCAGCAGGAGGAGGCGUCAGGAGCGCUGAGGCGAUCCAAGCGGUUUGUUCGCAGACCCUCCGUGCACACCGAGACCAAAUAUAUCGAGUUGAUGGUGGUCAACGACAACGACAUGAUUGUACAGCUGCGACGCUCCGGCAGCCAAACAAAAAACUUUGCCAAAGCGGUGGUCAACAUGGCGGACGCGAUCUUACGGGAGCAACUGAACACGAGGAUCGUGCUGGUCGCCAUGGAGACGUGGACCUCAAAAAACAUGGUGCCGGUGGUGGAGGACCCACUGACCACGCUGCAGAACUUCAUGAAGUACAAGCGGGACAACAUCCGGGAGCAGAGUGACGUUGUCCAACUUUUCUCAGGACGUACGUUUCAGAGCGGCCGCAGCGGCACGGCGUACACGGGAGGAGUGUGUUCACCGACGAGGGGAGGGGGAAUCAAUGAGUUUGGCAGUGUCGGCGCCAUGGCCAUCACUUUGUGCCAAAGCCUGGGCCAGAACAUUGGGAUGAGGUGGAACAAUGCACGCAACUCUGCAGGAGACUGCAGGUGUCCUGAUACCUGGCUGGGCUGCAUUAUGGAGGACACUGGAUACUAUCUGCCCAGAAAGUUCUCCCGCUGCAGCGUGGACGAGUACAUCCAGUUCUUGCUCCAGGGGGGCGGCAGCUGCCUCUUCAACAAACCCAACAAGUUGUUGGACCCUCCAGAAUGCGGCAACGGCUUUGUGGAACCUGGCGAAGAGUGUGAUUGUGGAUCCCAGGUGGAGUGCGCCCGCAGCGGAGGAGCCUGCUGUAAAAAAUGCACACUCACCCACGACGCUAUGUGCAGCAAUGGACUGUGCUGCAGUGGCUGCAAGUACGAGCUGAGAGGCGUGGUUUGUCGAGAGGCGGUCAGUGACUGCGACAUCGCAGAGACCUGCACUGGAGACUCUAGCCAGUGUCCUCAUAACGUCCACAAGCUGGAUGGCUACAGGUGUGAAACUAAUCAAGGCCGCUGUUAUGGCGGACGAUGUCGCACUCGAGAUGGACAGUGUAGGGGACUCUGGGGUUUUAACUCGGCAGACAGGUUUUGUUACGAGAAGCUUAACGCCGAAGGGACGGACAAAGGCAACUGCGGACGGGGCCCCGGCGGCCAAGGCUGGCUUCAGUGCAACAAGCCGGACGUUUUGUGCGGCUUCUUGUUCUGCGCCAACAUCAGCACAAAGCCCAAAUUUGGGGACCUUCAAGGCGAGGUGACCAGCUUCACCCUCUACCACCAGAACAAGUACCUGGACUGUCGGGGCGGCCACGCUGUGCUGGAGGACGGUUCGGACCUGGGCUACGUGGAGGACGGCGCCCCCUGCGGGCCCAACAUGAUGUGCUUGGAGCGACGCUGCCUCCCGGCGGCGGCCUUCAACCUCAGCAGCUGCGCGGGGUCCAACUGGGGACGCAUCUGCUCCGACCACGGGACGUGCAGCAACGAGGUGAAGUGCAUCUGCGACAGGGACUACACGGGCAAGGACUGCAGCGUCUUUGAUCCCAUACCCGAGCCCACCGUCCCGACGGGCCUGGGAAAAAAAGGUCCCAGUGGCACCAAUAUCAUAAUAGGCUCCAUCGCAGGUGCUAUUCUCCUGGCAGCUAUAGUCCUAGGGGGGACAGGAUGGGGAUUUAAGUAAGAGUUCUGGCAUGCGUUUGUCCUUCCUGUCUGCUUCCACGCUGCUCAGCAAGCUUGCCCGGCUCAUUCUGGGGAGAACACACACACUUGUAUGGUUCAAGGUUAUUCUAGUCUGCCAGGGAUCAUCGCAGCACUACCCCUUCGCUUAGGCCAGAUGCUCUCCUCAUCUGUGCAUGCUUCUCGCUUCUCGUCUCCGUUGACACUCUGGCCUAAAAGGACUGACUCCCUUGAACAUUUACAGCAGCCCGAUUGGUUAAAAAGAAUCAGAAACACAAUUGAAGGAAUCCUUUUAGGGUCAGAGAAACAUACGGAGAGGAAGAUCUGGUGGAGGAUAAGACGACCAUCAUCUGUCUCUGUG
RNA transcript from Phycodurus eques (leafy seadragon), 2969 nucleotides. It is a transcript of the gene named disintegrin and metalloproteinase domain-containing protein 11-like, with no coding region annotated. The transcript is spliced from 26 exons. The record is from RefSeq and is a predicted model, not a curated record. NCBI's taxonomy places the organism in Eukaryota, Metazoa, Chordata, Actinopteri, Syngnathiformes, Syngnathidae.